CUAACGGGACUGCCCGCGAAAGCCGGGGAGGAAGGAGGGGACGACGUCUGGUCAGCAUGGCCCUUACGGCCUGGGCGACACACGUGCUACAAUGCCCACUACAAAGCGAUGCCACCCGGCAACGGGGAGCUAAUCGCAAAAAGGUGGGCCCAGUUCGGAUUGGGGUCUGCAACCCGACCCCAUGAAGCCGGAAUCGCUAGUAAUCGCGGAUCAGCCAUGCCGCGGUCGAAUACGUUCCCGGGCCUU
This 246-nucleotide ribosomal RNA is filed under the name uncultured Thermus sp. Its description in RNAcentral is "partial 16S ribosomal RNA". It matches the Rfam family "Bacterial small subunit ribosomal RNA", at positions 1140 to 1382 of the family's 1533-position model. Lineage: Bacteria; Thermotogati; Deinococcota; Deinococci; Thermales; Thermaceae. The record is from RNAcentral.